Setaria italica (foxtail millet) is the source of this 1095-nucleotide long non-coding RNA. RefSeq lists it as uncharacterized. Lineage: Eukaryota; Viridiplantae; Streptophyta; Magnoliopsida; Poales; Poaceae. The transcript has 4 exons. The record is from RefSeq and is a predicted model, not a curated record.
UUGUUUAUGCCAGCGACACCGACCGGUGCGAAUUCAACAGCAGCAGGCAGACGAUCCAAGCCGUAGUGCUACCGACGAGAUGGCGUCGGACGGGGACAGCGGUGGUGCGGCGCCGGCGCGCCGAGACCUCGUCUGCGUGACGGGCGGCAGCGGCUUCGCCGGCUCGUGGCUCGUCCGCCUCCUCCUCGACCGCGGCUACACCGUCCACACCACCGUCAAGAACCUCGUGACGGAUUUGUUUCCUCCCCUUUUCAGAGGAUGAAGCUGAGACGAAGCACUUGCAGGCCCUGGGCGGCACGAACACGCGUCUCCAGCUGUUCCAGAUGGACCUUUUGGACCCUGCUUCCGUCCGUCCAGCGGUUGAGGGCGCUCGCGGUGUCUUCCACCUGGCGUCCCCGUCCAUACUGCAGGCAGAGGACCCAGAGGCAAAUCUUCCUUCUGAAUAAUUAAUCACCCCAUCGACGCAAAUCACAAACGAGUUCCUGGAACCGGCGGUGAAGAGCACGCUCAACGUCUUGCGCGCCGUGAAAGAUUGUGGGGUCGGCCACGUCGUCCUGAUGUCGUCGCCGGCGGUCAUGGUGCCGAACCCCAACUGGCCGGGGACAAGGUCGUAGACGAGGACUGCUGGGUCGACGUCGAGCUCCUCAAGAAAGUUCAGUUUUGGUAUAGCGUAUCUAAGACACUGGCAGAGAAGGCUGCAUGGGACUUCGCUGCGAGGAGGGAUUGUAGAUGGCUGUGCUUAAUCCAGGGAUGGUACUGGGUCCAAUAUUAGCACCAUCAGUUAACACCAGUCUUCAACUGCUUCUGCAACUUCUAGCAGAAUCCAGGAGGAUAAACAAGGCUAGGUGGUGAGAGCAAAGGACCCCUCCAAGAAAUUGAUCGGUUUGAGUGUUCGUUUCACUCCAUUCGACAAAACCAUCAGAGACACUGUGGAUUGCUUGAGGAGCAAGGACUUAUCUAGCCUGUGAAGUGUGCUCUAUAUGGAACACUAUUAUACAACAGUUGCAUAGCUCAAAUAAACUGCUAGAGUGCAAAUACAUAUCUCAUAUCUGGACGAUGUUUUAGGUGUUUUUCAUGUAAUCCAACCUAUUUUCC